CGCGGGGUGGAGCAAUUGGUAGCUCGUUGGGCUCAUAACCCAAAGGCUGCAGGUUCAAGUCCUGCCCCCGCUACAA
Molecule: transfer RNA, 76 nt
Rfam family: tRNA
About the family: Transfer RNA (tRNA) molecules are approximately 80 nucleotides in length. Their secondary structure includes four short double-helical elements and three loops (D, anti-codon, and T loops).